Non-coding RNA from Ictidomys tridecemlineatus (thirteen-lined ground squirrel), 72 nucleotides. Lineage: Eukaryota; Metazoa; Chordata; Mammalia; Rodentia; Sciuridae. The record is from Rfam.
GGGGAUUUAGCUCAGUGUUAGAGUGCUUGCCUAGCAUGCAUGAAGUCCUGAGUUAAAUCCCCAGCAUCACCA